RNAcentral lists this ribosomal RNA (450 nucleotides) under uncultured bacterium. Its description in RNAcentral is "bacterial SSU rRNA". It matches the Rfam family "Bacterial small subunit ribosomal RNA", at positions 354 to 796 of the family's 1533-position model. The record is from RNAcentral.
GUGGGGAAUAUUGGACAAUGGGCGAAAGCCUGAUCCAGCCAUGCCGCGUGUGUGAAGAAGGUCUUCGGAUUGUAAAGCACUUUAAGUUGGGAGGAAGGGCAGUAAGUUAAUACCUUGCUGUUUUGACGUUACCGACAGAAUAAGCACCGGCUAACUUCGUGCCAGCAGCCGCGGUAAUACGAAGGGUGCAAGCGUUAAUCGGAAUUACUGGGCGUAAAGCGCGCGUAGGUGGUUUUGUAAGUUGGAGGUGAAAUCCCCGGGCUCAACCUGGGAACUGCCUCCAAAACUGCAUGACUAGAGUACGGUAGAGGGUAGUGGAAUUUCCUGUGUAGCGGUGAAAUGCGUAGAUAUAGGAAGGAACACCAGUGGCGAAGGCGACUACCUGCACUGAUACUGACACUGAGGUGCGAAAGCGUGGGGAGCAAACAGGAUUAGAAACCCUGGUAGUCC